This 377-nucleotide ribosomal RNA is filed under the name uncultured eukaryote. RNAcentral describes it as "partial 18S ribosomal RNA". It matches the Rfam family "Eukaryotic small subunit ribosomal RNA", at positions 592 to 976 of the family's 1831-position model. The record is from RNAcentral.
CAAUAGCGUAUAUUUAAGUUGCUGCAGUUAAAAAGCUCGUAGUUGGAUUUCGGGUGGGAAUGGCCGGUCCGCCGUUUCGGUGUGCACUUGCUACGCCCACCUUGCUGCCGGGGACGUGCUCUUGAGCUCACGCUCGGGACACGGAGUCGGCGAGGUUACUUUGAGUAAAUUAGAGUGUUCAAAGCAGGCCUACGCUCUGAAUACAUUAGCAUGGAAUAACACGAUAGGACUCUGGCCUAUCUUGUUGGUCUGUAGGACCGGAGUAAUGAUUAAGAGGGACAGUCGGGGGCAUUCGUAUUUCAUUGUCAGAGGUGAAAUUCUUGGAUUUAUGAAAGACGAACUACUGCGAAAGCAUUUGCCAAGGAUGUUUUCAUUAA